Molecule: ribosomal RNA, 484 nt
Filed under: uncultured bacterium
Lineage: Bacteria
Description: partial 16S ribosomal RNA
Rfam family: Bacterial small subunit ribosomal RNA
Source: RNAcentral
AUUGAACGCUGGCGGCAGGCCUAACACAUGCAAGUCGAGCGGAUGAAGGGAGCUUGCUCCUGGAUUCAGCGGCGGACGGGUGAGUAAUGCCUAGGAAUCUGCCUGGUAGUGGGGGAUAACGUCCGGAAACGGGCGCUAAUACCGCAUACGUCCUGAGGGAGAAAGUGGGGGAUCUUCGGACCUCACGCUAUCAGAUGAGCCUAGGUCGGAUUAGCUAGUUGGUGGGGUAAAGGCCUACCAAGGCGACGAUCCGUAACUGGUCUGAGAGGAUGAUCAGUCACACUGGAACUGAGACACGGUCCAGACUCCUACGAGAGGCAGCAGUGGGGAAUAGUGGACAAUGGGCGAAAGCCUGAUCCAGCCAUGCCGCGUGUGUGAAGAAGGUCUUCGGAUUGUAAAGCACUUUAAGUUGGGAGGAAGGGCAGUAAGUUAAUACCUUGCUGUUUUGACGUUACCAACAGAAUAAGCACCGGCUAACUUCGUG